Molecule: long non-coding RNA, 3161 nt
Organism: Oncorhynchus masou masou (cherry salmon)
Lineage: Eukaryota; Metazoa; Chordata; Actinopteri; Salmoniformes; Salmonidae
Exons: 3
Source: RefSeq, a predicted model, not a curated record
GAGGGGGAAUAGGUCUGAGAUCAGGAGUGACAUUGAGGGGGAAUAGGUCUGAGAUCUGGAGUGACAUUGAGGGGGAAUAGGUCUGAUAUCUGGAGUGACAUUGAGGGGGAAUAGGUCUGAGAUCAGGAGUGACAUUGAGGGGGAAUAGGUCUGAGAUCUGGAGUGACAUUGAGGGGGAAUAGGUCUGAUAUCAGGAGUGACAUUGAGGGGGAAUAGGUCUGAGAUCUGGAGUGACAUUGAGGGGGAAUAGGUCUGAGAUCUGGAGUGACAUUGAGGGGGAAUAGGUCUGAGAUCUGGAGUGACAUUGAGGGGGAAUAGGUCUGAGAUCUGGAGUGACAUUGAGGGGGAAUAGGUCUGAUAUCUGGAGUGACAUUGAGGGGGGGGGGGGUGAUAGGUCUGAUAUCAGGGGCUAAUAUGAAGGCACCUGUAGGUUAUACAAGACAUGGAGGCAUAGAGUUGGAUGCAUGGGGACAUAUCAAUGUCUCUGCCCAUGUUAAAACAGGUUUUGUGGCAAGUCUCUGUCCACCUCGGGUUUAUAUUGAGGUUGCAGUUGUAUUGGCCAUCACCAGCAUUUUUAUCAGAGUCACCUGACUUGUAAAUGAACAAAUCAAUGAAAGUGUGGCUUUGUUUUUCAAAUCUGAACAACCCCCCCCCCCAAUGUGAGGAGUCGCUGUUAUUUUAUUUUGUAUUUGUCUUUCGUUGUGCUGCGUUAUUUCUCAUGAAAACAUCUAUUCUGAAGUGGCCAUUUGCCUUGUAAAGUAGUGUUUUACUGUGUGAUUGAUACAGUCAUUUCUAAGUGGAAUUUACAUCUUAACCAUAUUGUAAAGUACCUAAAAAAAUAUAUAUAUAUACAAAAAGUGUUGCCAAAUAAUGCCAAUGAAAAGACAACUAUAAUAAUUAAUUAUUAUUAUUAACCAUGAAUUAUCAAGUGCAAGUAAAGACAAAAAAUAACCUGUCUAGACGAGAGUUGAUGACGUCUCAUUGCCCUCAUGGUUUUUUGUUCUUCUCUUGUCGUGCUCGUUAUCCUGAGAGCCUCCACACUGCUGUGUUAACAUGUCUGGCUGCGACGUAACAAUGAAGAGAACAAAUAGACUAUAUUUUUCUACCAUCUGAGUGAAGCACUCCAUACACCGUGAGGGUGGCGGAAUGCGCUGGGAACCAAUGGGAGAUCGCUGGCAAUGGGUCUCAGGCUAUGACGCUAUCGCCUGUAACCUAGGUAACAAAGGUUAAGACAAUUUAAUUAUUUUCAAUGCGAAACGUUACAAAAUAAAUAUUGUCAUUUGACCAGCACCGUUGCUGAUUCUACAGGAUUAGCGGUCGUGAAAAUCAAGUAAUAAAAUGACUAGAUAAUUUUAUUUUAUUUUUUAUGAAUAUAAUAACUGUAAAACAGUUAUCCUAUGUGUUGGCUGUGUAGUUAGCGGGAAAUUCACUACGAUUGUGGGUUUUUUUCUCACUUUGGUUGGAAAACUUUCUAUGAGCUACUGCGAACAGUCACUUUGUCAUUUUGACUCACAUUGCUCGUCCCAUUGUUUAGACUUGUUCCGUAUUUAUGCAAAGAUUUAUGGGAUAUUAGAAUCCUAUUGUCUUAACCUUUGUUAUUUUAAACCGAGCCCUUAACCAGGAAGUGGACGUGACGACACAGGAAAAACAAUCUCCUCCUUUCCAACGCGAUUGACCACGGUUCGACUCUAACCCAGUGCGCUCUCCUCGCCUUACGUUAGAUGGCGUGUCAGUUUGCCGAUAUAGAUGCAGACUUUUAAAUUACCAUUUUUAUUUUAGAUAAAAAACACUUUGUAAUUUUGUUUCCCUAUACCGCUUUAAUGAGCGGCCAGACUGGGGUCACUUGUUUGAAAAGUAGGAAAUGGAAACAGAAAACCUAUAUGUAUUACACUGUUUUUUUUACCAUCCAUGUCUGGCCCAUAAGUUAACAGCAGGCCUGAAAUCAGUAUCACUAAGUACAGAGCUUAGACUGGUAACACUUAAGGGCUGGUCUCAAAUCAGCUCUUCUCAAAAUAGGUCUGUGGGAGAUUAUCUAGUGGCUCAUGUUCCUUUGACAAACACUGAGUUGCCCUGUGGGCUAUGAAGGCUUAUUCCUGCCAACAUGUUUGGCAUUAAUCUGCUUCCAUAGAUUGAGACCCUUUUGGGACACACUUGGUCAUUCUUAUUUUCAUGCAUUCUCAGUCCUGAUAGGCUGUGAUGCACCGCUCAAAGGUAGAGAGGGACCACAUUUUGAUCAAUCAAUAUUAGCUACCGAUCAUCGAUCAAAACAAUAACCAAUGGCUGAUGUAGUUGCCAAUUGGGAGUUGGGGACAGUUUGUUACUCACAGGUGGCACCUUAAUUGGGGAGGACGGGGCUCGUGGUAAUGAAUGGAGCGAAAUCAGCGGAAUGGUAUCAAACAGACAUGGUUUCCAUGGUGUUUGAUGCCGUUCCAUUCGCUCCGUUCCAGACAUUAUUAUGAGCCGUCCUCCACUCAGCAGCCUCCUGUGUUGUUACCAUGCCGACGUGUGAUAGCAGACAGCCAACCCCCUCUCAGGUGUUCUGCGGGAACGGAACAGAAUGUGACAAAGGGUUUAUUUUCUGAACGUUAAUAUUAGAUCAAGCUGCUUGUUGUGACUGCACCGCUGUCUCUCUCUCUCUCUCUCUGUAGAGACACUGUUCUUCUCAGGGUGGAUGGGUGUAACGGUAUUGUCUCCCCACAGGGUGGCGCUGUUGCUUCAGUCCAGAAAGCCAGACUGAAUCACGCUACGUUUUUAGAAUGGUUUCACUGCUGUAAUAAAGGGAGCUGAAUUCAGGAUGGAUUUCCAGGCUAGCACUGCUGCUGCUCCCGAGGAUGAAACGGUUCCAGUCCUCACUUCGUCCACUAGGUUGCGCUAGCUGUCUCUACUGAGGGUGCAGACAGAGCUUUGUCCACUAGGUAUUGCUAGCUGUCUACUGCUCGAUGUCGUCUUUAUACUGCUUCACUGUUUAACCCGUUUGAUAAAUCAGUCCCUCCUCCAAGCCUGAGCUUCAGCUAAGACUAAAGCUCUUCUGACUUGCAUAAUAAUUGUACCGUAAAGUUUUAAGUUGAAAUGUUUUUGUGGAAAAAAAAGAUUUAAAAAAUGUGUCUGCAUUUAAAAACAAAUGAAAUUACGGGAAUUAAAAUUACAAAGCAUACCAAACA